This 1392-nucleotide ribosomal RNA is filed under the name metagenome. Its description in RNAcentral is "bacterial LSU rRNA". It matches the Rfam family "Bacterial large subunit ribosomal RNA", at positions 1552 to 2925 of the family's 2925-position model. The record is from RNAcentral.
GACGCCGAGCACCGAGACGAGUCCUAUGAGGACGAAGUGACUGACACCACGCUUCCAGGAAAAGCCACUAAGCUUCAGCUUAAGAAAAACCGUACCGCAAACCGACACAGGUAGGCAGGGUGAGAAUCCCAAGGCGCUUGAGAGAACUCGGGUGAAGGAACUAGGCAAAAUGGCACCGUAACUUCGGGAGAAGGUGCGCCCUUUGGUGUGGUCACGUGCGUGACUGAGCAUCGAAGGGUCGCAGUAACCUGGCCGCUGCGACUGUUUAUCAAAAACACAGCACUCUGCAAACACGAAAGUGGACGUAUAGGGUGUGACGCCUGCCCGGUGCUGGAAGGUUAAUUGAUGGGGUCAGCCGCAAGGCGAAGCUCUUGAUCGAAGCCCCAGUAAACGGCGGCCGUAACAAUAACGGUCCUAAGGUAGCGAAAUUCCUUGUCGGGUAAGUUCCGACCUGCACGAAUGGCGUAACGACAGCGGCGCUGUCUCCACCCGAGACUCAGUGAAAUUGAAAUCGCUGUGAAGAUGCAGCGUUCCCGCGGCAAGACGGGAAGACCCCGUGAACCUUUACUAUAGCUUUACACUGAACGUUGAGUUCUUCUGUGUAGGAUAGGUGGCAGGCUAUGAAACCAGGACGCUAGUUCUGGUGGAGCCAUCCUUGAAAUACCACCCUGAAGUGCUUGACGUUCUAACCUAGGCCCGUAAUCCGGGUCAGGGACCGUGUAUGGUGGGUAGUUUGACUGGGGCGGUCUCCUCCCAAAGAGUAACGGAGGAGCACGAAGGUACGCUCAGCGCGGUCGGACAUCGCGCACUGUGUGCAAAGGCAUAAGCGUGCUUGACUGCGAGAUCGACGGAUCAAGCAGGUACGAAAGUAGGUCUUAGUGAUCCGGUGGUUCUGUAUGGAAGGGCCAUCGCUCAACGGAUAAAAGGUACUCCGGGGAUAACAGGCUGAUACCGCCCAAGAGUUCAUAUCGACGGCGGUGUUUGGCACCUCGAUGUCGGCUCAUCACAUCCUGGGGCUGUAGCCGGUCCCAAGGGUAUGGCUGUUCGCCAUUUAAAGUGGUACGCGAGCUGGGUUCAGAACGUCGUGAGACAGUUCGGUCCCUAUCUGUCGUGGGCGUUGGAGAUUUGAGGGGGGCUGCUCCUAGUACGAGAGGACCGGAGUGGACGUUCCGCUGGUAUUCGGGUUGUCAUGCCCAUGGCAUUGCCCGGUAGCUACGAACGGAAGUGAUAACCGCUGAAAGCAUCUAAGCGGGAAGCACGCCCCAAGAUGAGAUCUCCCGAGAGCUUGACUCUCCUAAAGGCACCAUCAAGACUAGGUGGUUGAUAGGUCAGGUGUGGAAGCGCAGCAAUGCGUUGAGCUAACUGAUACUAAUGAGCCGUGAGGCUUGACCU